This is a non-coding RNA of Danio rerio (zebrafish), 4166 nucleotides long. Lineage: Eukaryota; Metazoa; Chordata; Actinopteri; Cypriniformes; Danionidae. The record is from RefSeq and is a predicted model, not a curated record.
AAUAGCACGACUUUCUUUCGCAUGUGUGUUGACAAAUAACAUUUUAUAAAGCGCUAUAAAUAUAAACUGGAUCUUAACUUACAGCUUACAGUAUAGGUUAUGUUAACCUUUUGAAACAAACACCUUUAAAUCAAAUUGAAGCUGAAGUAAAACGUUGAGUGUCCGCUGGGGGGCGGUAUUGACCCUUGAUAUAACACAAGUGAGCGUGAGCUGAAAACUGAACAGAGAAAGUCAUCAGCUGUCAGUGCCGAAGAACAAAUAACAGAAAAAAUGAUAAUGAUCAACAUUUAUUUGUCUUUGAAAUUGAUCAAUCGUUAAUACAAAUGAAAAACUAUAACUUAUAAAUAGUCUACAAUUUAUGACAAAACAUACAAUCAAAGUAUUAGAAGGUAGAUAGUCUAUUUAUCCGAAUUGCCAAUAUGAUUCGUGUGUUGUUGUUAUUAAUUUAGUCAAAGUGGUUAUCCACUUACCCAAUCUCGUAAUUCCACCAAAUAAUCAUAAACGAAAAUUUGCGUAAUUGUACAGUUUUAAGAAACUUCUUUAUGAAUAACUUUUGCGUAUACAAUUAGAAGGAAAAUGCAACGUCUGUCUUUGUUAAAUAAUGAUAAUCUGGUUUAAUAAAUACGUUGUUUUAUUCCCAAUCAGUGGCGAUUCCAUCCAAUUUAUCAUUUGCAAUGGAUACAAAUAACUAAAAUAUAUGUUUUAUAUUCUUUUAUAUUGUUUUCAAUUUUCUGAAAAGCGCGAAGGUUCAUGAUAGCAAAACGCAUUAACGGAUGAAAGUAAAUCCGAACAUGAAAGUUCACUGCCACCUAAAUUUACCUUAUUGUGCUCCUCACUGCCAUUUGCAGGAUUGACUUGUUUUUUGAGGAUUUGUCUAGUUAAGUCAUGGUGAACCCGUUUUCUCCAAACAGCUCCAGGUUUUACUUAAUACGGAAUAAAAAAGUAUUUAGCAUAUUAAUGUGCCUUUAUCGAUAAAGUUAUUCAAUCUUUAAUUGUCGCAUGCUGUACAAAUGGCAAUAAAUAAAAGAAAAAAAUAGCUAAAAUUAAUCUAACUUGUGUAGAAUAAAAUCUAUAACUGAAAUUAUGUAUUUAUGUAUUUUUACAUUAAGACAAUUUGAUGUUAUGAUACUUUAAAAAGCAGAAUAGGUUGUAACUAUAAACAAUUGAUUACAUUUUUUAGCAUAAAGUUACUGACUUAUCUGUCUUGUUACAUUUUUUCUUUGUUUAUUUUACAUUUCUAAUUGUAUUUUUAAUGUUUAGCAAAUUUUAUAACCGUUGUCUCGUAUUGUUUUUAUUAUUAUUACUAUUGUUGUUGUUGUUGUUAAUAUUAUUAUUAUUAUUAUUAUUAUAAGCAAUUAUAAGAAGUAGUAGUCUGUAAAAGGGUAUACAUUUUUGUGCAAAUCCAUUAAAAUGUAGUUUGUCAAUUGGUACUUAAAUGUAAAUCUGUACAUAUGUAGGCUAAUACUGUUUGUAAAUCUAGUCCGUUUUUUGUAGCAAUAAAAGCGCUUAGCAUCGUUAGAUGGCAGUGAUGCUCUCAGUGCGCAUCAUCGCGCCGCGUGAACAAACACCGCACUGCUAUCAAAGAAAUAAGAGGCAGCUUUCAAGUUAUGUCUGACGUGUAGCGACUGCGCUUCAUUUUCUGCCAUAAAUGUUUGUGCAUCGUACACAAAACAUAAUAUUGUUGUUUCAUUUUGAGGAUUAUUGUUAUUAUUGCAACUACUAUAAAAUAUAUAAUAAAUAAUAAUGCACAGAGAUUAUUAUUAUUAGGCCUAAUUAUUGUCGCUGUCAUAAUAUUAUUACAUUGUUGUUGGUGGUUUUGGUAUGAUUACCCUUUUUAUAUUUAUUCGAUUUGUGUCUGGUUUCAUUUUCUAAGUUCUAUAUAAUUAAUAUUAUAACAACAUAUUAGCUAUUUAAUUGUGAAAUGUGAACUCUUUGAUAACUCAGAUCGCAUUAUUGACUCCGUGAUUCAAACUAUCCCCUCCGGAAAUUGAUUUGUUUUAUUAAACUAUUUAAAUCUGAUUUUAUUUAUUUUGAAUAGAAAAAAUGGAAAUAAUCAAAAUACACUUUGUAGUUUAUUUUCAUUUGAAGAGCGCUAUUUAUUUAGAUUUAGACGAAUAAUAAUAAUAAUAAUAGUAAUAAUAAUAAUAUUAAUAAUAAAACUGUUUAUUACUAACCUACACUUUGAAUACUGCGAGACCGGACAUGUCUUCAAAUAUCGGUCUGUUUAUUAAUAUAUACAUUGAUUAUAAACAUUUUUAAUGUAAACGCUGUUUAAAAAAACGAAAUAGCUAAACAUCUGAAUUUAAUUAUUUUAAUUAUGUUUCUACAUUUUCCAGUAUAUUUUUAAAAAUACAUAUUUUUAAAAUUACAAUUGUUUAAUUUUGGUUUCUUCAUGUAGCAACUGUUUAAGUUUUCCUAAUGCAUGUUCCGCUGUUCUUACCUUGUGGUCGAAUUAUCCGAGUUGUUUAACUAAAACAGGGAAGCUUGCAAAGCUUUAUUGAGUUUAGAUUGGCUUUUUCACCCUCUCUCCCGCUCAGUGUGGUGCACGUGCCACACACCUGCUGCCUGGGCGCACCAUUCUGACAGAGGGAGGGGUGUCUCAAAGAAAACAAUUAAACGAGAGUUUCUCAAGCAACAUUACAUAAAUCACGUGCUUUUGGGUUUCUUGCUUUGGGCCCCGUUGUCAAAAUUCUUCAGAGACCAAAGUUCAGCACCCAUCUCGUGCUUCCACUAAAACCCUUUCAACUUUUGUGGGCAGAACAUUUGGGCCUUUGCGCCACCAGUGACGGAAGUCAAACGACUUUUAGAGGACUCUAAGCAUGUAAGGCGUUCGCUCUGAUUGCCUUUCAUGCUUGUCCAAUGAGAUCUGUCUUUAUGAAACACUUCGUAAACCGGAGUUCCAAACAAAAGGCCAAGUCCCUGAAACACACAAGUCACGCCACCGGCAUAUUGCUGACGGCCUUGGACACAGUUCAUUCCUCUCUAGCAAUUACUUUCUUCAUAGCACAUCCCUGCUGGGAGAAAAAAAAAUCAACAAAACCUAAGCUAGUUUACUGGUUUUAACUGGUUGGGUUAAGUUGUUUUUUAUAACUUGUGUUUUAACAUUUGAGCGCGGCUUUCGGUGACAUUAGCCCACAUUUAAAUGGUACCAGUAGGUCAACAAAUUAAAAGCAAUCUUUUGCUGCUGUAUAUUUAUAAUUGUUAUAUUAUAGUGUAAUGCAUCUUCAUGAUCAUAACACAUUUGUUUGUUGCGUUUGUUUGUUAUUAAUUCCUCUAAUUAUUUCCCUUUAGGGGCUGCUCCCAAACGCACAUUCGCAUGAAAAGUAGGUAUAUAUUAAUUUACUUGUAAUCAAUAAGUCUUAAUACACUUGUCUUUAUGUAUAAGAAAUAUACCUCAAUCAGUAUAUUCCCAAUUUGCUUUAAGAUAUUUGCCUGUAAAGGGUUGGUCAUUUUUCUUCGCAGAUCCUUAUUGAAACGCAAGGGGGCGCCUUACACAAAUCUUGUUUGGGCACAAGUAGGCUACGACCCUCGGGCUCUUGUUUCACCACAAAGGAUGCUCUCAGUGAACCUCAAUCAAGAUGCGCCUUCUUUUUAUUGGUUUAUUGGAUCUUGGAUGAGAGUCUAACCAAAGCGGUCCCUCUGGAACAAAACACAAAACAAAUCCGCUGUCUGCUGUCCGCAGUUAUCGGCCCUGAUCUCCAGGUGCAUCGUAGACGAGGGUCAGAAGGUUCGAGGCUUCAUAAUGGACACAAAAGCACAAAGCAUGCGGACGGGCGUGAUGCUCCGCUACCUGAUAUCAAAGCCAGCAGCCUCUGCAUGAGAGGAGAUGGGCCUCGAACAGUCGGAGAAAAACCCAAAGAGGAGCAUGCGCUUCAGGGUUUGAAGUGACGCCAUCUAUUUAUAAAAACAACAAUUACGUUUUACAUUACAAUGCGCAUGAUACAAAUUUGACGUGUUACAAUUAAUAACAAAAGAAGAGAUAACGCGUAAUUGCUUGGUGCCAUUCAUUACGAAGUGACGUGUUUUGAUCUGUAUAUUGUAAUCGUGGUUAAUGUAAACACUACGACUGCAAGUGUGGAAUAAUAAAUGCUGCUGUAAAAAGUAAAAAUUUAUUGAAGUUAUUUAAUAAUAGCCUAGUUAUGAUAUAUUUCAUAUAGUAAUAUAAU